RNAcentral lists this ribosomal RNA (460 nucleotides) under uncultured bacterium. Its description in RNAcentral is "partial 16S ribosomal RNA". It matches the Rfam family "Bacterial small subunit ribosomal RNA", at positions 338 to 795 of the family's 1533-position model. The record is from RNAcentral.
CCUACGGGAGGCUGCAGUGAGGAAUAUUGGUCCAUGGGCGUAAGCCUGAACCAGCCAAGUCGCGUGAGGGAUGAAGGUUCUAUGGAUCGUAAACCUCUUUUAUCAGGGAAUAAAGUGUGGGACGUGUCCUGUUUUGUAUGUACCUUAUGAAUAAGGAUAGGCUAACUCCGUGCCAGCAGCCGCGGUAAUACGGAGGAACCGAGCGUUAUCCGGAUUUAUUGGGUUUAAAGGUAGGGUAGGCGGCCUUUUAAGUCAGCGGGGAAAGUCUGUGGCUCAACCAUAGAAUUGCCGUUGAAACUGGGAGGCUUGAGUAUGUUAGAGGCAGGCGGAAUGCGUGGUGUAGCGGUGAAAUGCUUAGAUAUCACGCAGAACCCCGAGUGCGAAGGCAGCCUGCCAAGCCAUGACUGACGCUGAUGCACGAAAGCGUGGGGAUCAAACAGGAUUAGAUACCCCAGUAGUC